ACUUACAAAAACUAUAACUUACUGUGAAUUAAUCACUCACUCACUGGCAGAUCUUUAAAAUUAUUGAGCACUUCUCGUUAUCGUAAAAAAAAACUUUUGAAAAAUUAUUUUUAUUUAUUUUUUUUUCAUUUUACGAAAGACUUUAUAUUUCUUAUAAUUUUUUCCAGUAAAACUUUAAAAAUGAAUGUGAUAUAUAAGAAAAACCAAAACAAUAGCAUGAAGCUGCCCCAAAAGUUUAUCAUAGAACCGGAAUAGGAGCUCUGAGCCCAAAUACACUAAAUAUCAACAAAAACAAAACUGUUAAAAAAGAUGCCAACUUAAAUUUCAACUGAUGGAAUUUUAAUUACAUUAGUUUUCUUGGAAAGAUUUCAAACAACUUUAAAAAUCGGUCAUUUAAUGAAAAAUUGUCUUUAAAAACAAUCAAAAUGGGAAGAGUUAUAAAUAAAAUGUACGACUGGGUCGCAUGUACUUGCUCUUGCAGCUCAAAGCA
Molecule: long non-coding RNA, 490 nt
Organism: Episyrphus balteatus (marmalade hoverfly)
Lineage: Eukaryota; Metazoa; Arthropoda; Insecta; Diptera; Syrphidae
Exons: 2
Source: RefSeq, a predicted model, not a curated record